This 496-nucleotide ribosomal RNA is filed under the name uncultured bacterium. RNAcentral describes it as "partial 16S ribosomal RNA". It matches the Rfam family "Bacterial small subunit ribosomal RNA", at positions 28 to 523 of the family's 1533-position model. The record is from RNAcentral.
GAUGAACGCUGGCGGCGUGCUUAACACAUGCAAGUCGAACGGAGAGAAAGUGCUUGCACUUUCUCUUAGUGGCGGACGGGUGAGUAACGCGUGGGUAACCUGCCCUAUGCAGGGGGAUAACAACGAGAAAUCGUUGCUAAUACCGCAUAAUAAAGAAGAGCUGCAUGGCUUUUCUUUCAAAGAUUUAUCGGCAUAGGAUGGACCCGCGUUGGAUUAGCUAGUUGGUGAGAUAACAGCCCACCAAGACGACGAUCCAUAGCCGGCCUGAGAGGGUGAACGGCCACACUGGGACCGAGACACGGCCCAGACUCCUACGGGAGGCAGCAGUGGGGAAUAUUGCACAAUGGGCGCAAGCCUGAUGCAGCGACGCCGCGUGAAGGAUGAAGGUCUUCGGAUUGUAAACUUCUAUCAGCAGGGAAGAAGGAGUGUCUUCGGACACUCUUGACGGUACCUGACUAAGAAGCACCGGCUAACUACGUGCCAGCCGCCGCGGUAA